This 1466-nucleotide long non-coding RNA is filed under the name Triticum aestivum (bread wheat). RNAcentral describes it as "long non-coding RNA (TAES_LNC023028)". Lineage: Eukaryota; Viridiplantae; Streptophyta; Magnoliopsida; Poales; Poaceae. The record is from RNAcentral.
UCGGGUAUUGCCAUGACGUACAUUGUGAUUUCAGUUUUCAUCAAUGUCGCUCUUAUUAUUAUCUCUUUGUAGCUUCAUAUAAAAUUAGUGUUGACAUGGUCAUUUUACAGAAUGAGUGAAAAUGGUAGGUUGGUAGAAUCAUAACCUGUGAGUUCCUUAAGAAGUUUUUUUCAUUAUCUGUAAUAUAUUGUUUAGGGCCAGUUAAGAUGUGUAGUCGAAAAAUAUGAGUAAAAUAGUGAAUAUUUUGCAUUGCCUUGGUGUUUAGUAUGUCUAUUGCAUAAUCCUUUUUUGCUUCUCUUUUCAAAGCAAGGACCAGGCUGGGAACAUAUGUUUAUAAUGAAGUUCUUUCAUUGCAGACUGCAGACUGCAUAGUAACUUCAUGUUCUUAGUGGCGAUCCAUUAGCAGCAGACCUUGCCCAUGAGCUAAUGGCAGUCCAUGUAAAUGCCUUUAAUUCUUACACUUUAUCUUACACUUGAAUACUUGUCAGUGGUACUGCUAGCCUUUUACCUUUGUAAUACAUAGUAGGAAAUUUCUGAAGCUUUAUCUUGCCAUAUGUAUCUAAUUUGUUGUUGGCCGUAUUAGAAAUAAUCAAUAAUUUCGCCACGUGGGAGCUCAUGCUUGUGGGCAAGUUGUCUGGCUAAAUUUCUCUGUACAUACACUUCUUUCUUUAGAGAACUAGAAUUGUUUGAUACUGGCAGUUUAUGUCGAGCUGCCUAAGGUACAUGCUUUUUUUCUCCUUUUCUCUAAUCCUUCCUUUACAUGUUGGUACGUUUUAUAGCCAGGUUCAGAUCGGUGAUAUCCGUGCCAAUGGAUGAGGUAUGACAAUAUUUGUCUUAUUUACUGCUUGCAUACAUAGUGAGUUCAUUCAUCCUACUACUGACUAAAACGUACAGUUACAUACUCAAUGAAGUUGAUCUUGGGCUCAACCCUUUAACUCCAGCCUGCAACUGCUGGAAGUUUCCUGGCUAAGAAGCACUGAGAAAAGGAUUACUGAAGCGGUGACUGGGUGGGUACACCUGAGGCGAUUGAUGUCAAGAUCCUGAGCAUGUGGAAUUGGAAUUUCGUUUGUCGAGUCCUGGCACCAGUAUUGUUGGCUGUUUUGUUAACUUUCCCCCCCUGUUUAUGGGAGAUCCUUUAGGAGCUGUAGGCGCUAAACAACACCUAAGUUUCAUUCAUGCAACCAUGAAGGUUUUGGGGGAUGACACUCUUGCUCUCAGAAAAGGUUCUAUACACAAUUUCAUUCCAUAGGUUCUGGGAGAUCCUUUGUGUAAAUAAUAGCUUGCAAAAACGUCGUACAUUGCAUGUCGGAGGAGUAUUACUUAUCCAUGUUAACAUUGUGAAUGAUAAGUUACAUAAGGGAGAAACUUUAUCACCAAAUAAAGGCUUUGAUAUGCAAAUAAUUCUCUGUACAAUGUCAAGAUCAUACACCCAUAAGUUGAGAAAAAUAAUGGCUUUAAGUUCUUAG